GACUGCACCUGCUCGGGGACCUUGGCGAGCUGGCUGCCCGGGGCGUAGCCGGAGUUGGUGCUGUCCGGGUAGCCGCACCGGCUCGGGACCGGGGCGCAGCCG
RNAcentral lists this transfer RNA (102 nucleotides) under Actinomycetota bacterium. RNAcentral describes it as "tRNA-Pro". Lineage: Bacteria; Bacillati; Actinomycetota. The record is from RNAcentral.